This is a long non-coding RNA of Daktulosphaira vitifoliae (grape phylloxera), 1182 nucleotides long. RefSeq lists it as uncharacterized. NCBI's taxonomy places the organism in Eukaryota, Metazoa, Arthropoda, Insecta, Hemiptera, Phylloxeridae. The record is from RefSeq and is a predicted model, not a curated record. The transcript is spliced from 5 exons.
AUAAAGAAAUUAUAAUAACUCAAUGAAUUGAAACUUAUUUAAGAGGAAAUUUCAUUUUGUGUUUUAUUCACUGCAAAAAUAAAUACUUAUGUAAAGUUAUCUAUCUAAAAAUUCAUAAAAUAUCAUUUUUAUUGGUCCUUGAGGAAUAACUUCCAACCGGUAAUAGAAAGUGUACCGGAAAUCGCGUGGAAAAAGAGACAAGGUACGGGAAUAGAACCCUCCACCCAAUGCGUUAUAGUGGCAAACCUUAUCCACAAGCCACCAUUCACUUAUGGCUCAGAUCCCAAUACAAUUUGAUUUAGGUUGAUAACGUGAUGUACACCUGUGGGAAAACGGGUUUGUGUCAAGCCUAAGCGAUCUAUCAAAAUGAAUCCUUUAACUGUAAUCAGAAAACCAACUUAAAACUUAAACACCUUUCAUAAGUGAUUGGUGACCCAACAUUCCUUACAAUGAGGUAGCCAUGAGGGUGACGCCUCUGCAAUCUGUUGCGUGUCUCAAGUCGUCAUCUCUUAAGUUAAUAUGAGAAAUGUUAAAAGUUGAGUGCCUAAGAAUUAUUGACAUAAUUCUAGUGCUUGGAUUUUUGUUAUAAGUUUACCUUGCAACAUUUCUGAAGGUGAUAUUAUGGCAAUUUUCUUACAGUAAUUAUUGAUUUGAUAAAUAUUACAUGAAGAAACACAUUUAAGUUUAAGGAUUAUAAUCUUUGACACUACAAAAGUAUUGUAUUUCAUUAUAUUAAAUAUAAUAAUAAUUCUAUCAGAUUUCAUUGAAUUGAAAAGUUGCCUAGAUAAUAUUAAGAAAAUCUACAGAAAUGAACUAUUACUGUUUUGCUUAAUACUAUAAUAAUUUAAUUAAUCACUGGCCUCCAUACAUGAAAAAAAGUACAAACAAUAAAAUGAUAUUAAACUCACUAAAAUUCUAUGGUGAUAGAAUCAAGAAAAAUAAAGUUAAUCGGACACAUCUUCCAAACAAUGACUUUAUAACUAACAUCUACGAAUGAAAAAUAACUGGGAAGAAACUAAGAGAACGCCCAUGGGAAUAAUAUUUUGAAAAUAUUUGAACUCAUAAUUAAAAAUUAUGAACUCGUUUGUUUCACAUUAUUCAUCAUUAAUCAUUAUUCAAAAGCAAAAUUGUAAAUCUAAAAGAAUUAAGAAAAAAUGAUAAUAUAAAAUGAUAAUACCAAGA